Molecule: ribosomal RNA, 2902 nt
Filed under: Escherichia coli
Lineage: Bacteria; Pseudomonadati; Pseudomonadota; Gammaproteobacteria; Enterobacterales; Enterobacteriaceae
Also listed under: 1 other name
Description: 23S ribosomal RNA
Rfam family: Bacterial large subunit ribosomal RNA
Source: RNAcentral
UUAAGCGACUAAGCGUACACGGUGGAUGCCCUGGCAGUCAGAGGCGAUGAAGGACGUGCUAAUCUGCGAUAAGCGUCGGUAAGGUGAUAUGAACCGUUAUAACCGGCGAUUUCCGAAUGGGGAAACCCAGUGUGAUUCGUCACACUAUCAUUAACUGAAUCCAUAGGUUAAUGAGGCGAACCGGGGGAACUGAAACAUCUAAGUACCCCGAGGAAAAGAAAUCAACCGAGAUUCCCCCAGUAGCGGCGAGCGAACGGGGAGGAGCCCAGAGCCUGAAUCAGUGUGUGUAUUAGUGGAAGCGUCUGGAAAGGCGCGCGAUACAGGGUGACAGCCCCGUACACAAAAAUGCACAUGCUGUGAGCUCGAUGAGUAGGGCGGGACACGUGGUAUCCUGUCUGAAUAUGGGGGGACCAUCCUCCAAGGCUAAAUACUCCUGACUGACCGAUAGUGAACCAGUACCGUGAGGGAAAGGCGAAAAGAACCCCGGCGAGGGGAGUGAAAAAGAACCUGAAACCGUGUACGUACAAGCAGUGGGAGCCUCUUUAUGGGGUGACUGCGUACCUUUUGUAUAAUGGGUCAGCGACUUAUAUUCUGUAGCAAGGUUAACCGAAUAGGGGAGCCGAAGGGAAACCGAGUCUUAACUGGGCGUUAAGUUGCAGGGUAUAGACCCGAAACCCGGUGAUCUAGCCAUGGGCAGGUUGAAGGUUGGGUAACACUAACUGGAGGACCGAACCGACUAAUGUUGAAAAAUUAGCGGAUGACUUGUGGCUGGGGGUGAAAGGCCAAUCAAACCGGGAGAUAGCUGGUUCUCCCCGAAAGCUAUUUAGGUAGCGCCUCGUGAAUUCAUCUCCGGGGGUAGAGCACUGUUUCGGCAAGGGGGUCAUCCCGACUUACCAACCCGAUGCAAACUGCGAAUACCGGAGAAUGUUAUCACGGGAGACACACGGCGGGUGCUAACGUCCGUCGUGAAGAGGGAAACAACCCAGACCGCCAGCUAAGGUCCCAAAGUCAUGGUUAAGUGGGAAACGAUGUGGGAAGGCCCAGACAGCCAGGAUGUUGGCUUAGAAGCAGCCAUCAUUUAAAGAAAGCGUAAUAGCUCACUGGUCGAGUCGGCCUGCGCGGAAGAUGUAACGGGGCUAAACCAUGCACCGAAGCUGCGGCAGCGACACUAUGUGUUGUUGGGUAGGGGAGCGUUCUGUAAGCCUGUGAAGGUGUACUGUGAGGCAUGCUGGAGGUAUCAGAAGUGCGAAUGCUGACAUAAGUAACGAUAAAGCGGGUGAAAAGCCCGCUCGCCGGAAGACCAAGGGUUCCUGUCCAACGUUAAUCGGGGCAGGGUGAGUCGACCCCUAAGGCGAGGCCGAAAGGCGUAGUCGAUGGGAAACAGGUUAAUAUUCCUGUACUUGGUGUUACUGCGAAGGGGGGACGGAGAAGGCUAUGUUGGCCGGGCGACGGUUGUCCCGGUUUAAGCGUGUAGGCUGGUUUUCCAGGCAAAUCCGGAAAAUCAAGGCUGAGGCGUGAUGACGAGGCACUACGGUGCUGAAGCAACAAAUGCCCUGCUUCCAGGAAAAGCCUCUAAGCAUCAGGUAACAUCAAAUCGUACCCCAAACCGACACAGGUGGUCAGGUAGAGAAUACCAAGGCGCUUGAGAGAACUCGGGUGAAGGAACUAGGCAAAAUGGUGCCGUAACUUCGGGAGAAGGCACGCUGAUAUGUAGGUGAAGCGACUUGCUCGUGGAGCUGAAAUCAGUCGAAGAUACCAGCUGGCUGCAACUGUUUAUUAAAAACACAGCACUGUGCAAACACGAAAGUGGACGUAUACGGUGUGACGCCUGCCCGGUGCCGGAAGGUUAAUUGAUGGGGUUAGCGGUAACGCGAAGCUCUUGAUCGAAGCCCCGGUAAACGGCGGCCGUAACUAUAACGGUCCUAAGGUAGCGAAAUUCCUUGUCGGGUAAGUUCCGACCUGCACGAAUGGCGUAAUGAUGGCCAGGCUGUCUCCACCCGAGACUCAGUGAAAUUGAACUCGCUGUGAAGAUGCAGUGUACCCGCGGCAAGACGGAAAGACCCCGUGAACCUUUACUAUAGCUUGACACUGAACAUUGAGCCUUGAUGUGUAGGAUAGGUGGGAGGCUUUGAAGUGUGGACGCCAGUCUGCAUGGAGCCGACCUUGAAAUACCACCCUUUAAUGUUUGAUGUUCUAACGUUGGCCCCUGAUCGGGGUUGCGGACAGUGUCUGGUGGGUAGUUUGACUGGGGCGGUCUCCUCCUAAAGAGUAACGGAGGAGCACGAAGGUUGGCUAAUCCUGGUCGGACAUCAGGAGGUUAGUGCAAUGGCAUAAGCCAGCUUGACUGCGAGCGUGACGGCGCGAGCAGGUGCGAAAGCAGGUCAUAGUGAUCCGGUGGUUCUGAAUGGAAGGGCCAUCGCUCAACGGAUAAAAGGUACUCCGGGGAUAACAGGCUGAUACCGCCCAAGAGUUCAUAUCGACGGCGGUGUUUGGCACCUCGAUGUCGGCUCAUCACAUCCUGGGGCUGAAGUAGGUCCCAAGGGUAUGGCUGUUCGCCAUUUAAAGUGGUACGCGAGCUGGGUUUAGAACGUCGUGAGACAGUUCGGUCCCUAUCUGCCGUGGGCGCUGGAGAACUGAGGGGGGCUGCUCCUAGUACGAGAGGACCGGAGUGGACGCAUCACUGGUGUUCGGGUUGUCAUGCCAAUGGCACUGCCCGGUAGCUAAAUGCGGAAGAGAUAAGUGCUGAAAGCAUCUAAGCACGAAACUUGCCCCGAGAUGAGUUCUCCCUGACUCCCUGAGAGUCCUGAAGGAACGUUGAAGACGACGACGUUGAUAGGCCGGGUGUGUAAGCGCAGCGAUGCGUUGAGCUAACCGGUACUAAUGAACCGUGAGGCUUAACCUU